AUUGAACGCUGGCGGCAUGCCUUACACAUGCAAGUCGAACGGCAGCACGGGUGCUUGCACCUGGUGGCGAGUGGCGAACGGGUGAGUAAUACAUCGGAACGUACCUUAUCGUGGGGGAUAACGCAGCGAAAGCUGUGCUAAUACCGCAUACGCCCGGAGGGGGAAAGCGGGGGAUCGCAAGACCUCGCGCGAGUAGAGCGGCCGAUGCCUGAUUAGCUUGUUGGGGGGGUAAAAGCCCACCAAGGCGACGAUCAGUAGCUGGUCUGAGAGGACGAUAAGCCACACUGGGACUGAGACACGGCCCAGACUCCUACGGGAGGCAGCAGUGGGGAAUUUUGGACAAUGGGGGCAACCCCGAUCCAGCAAUGCCGCGUGAGUGAAGAAGGCCUUCGGGUUGUAAAGCUCUUUUGUCAGGGAAGAAACACCGGCUCUAACACAGUCCGGGAAUGACGGUACCUGAAGAAUAAGCACCGGCUAACUACGUGCCAGCAGCCGCUGUAA
RNAcentral lists this ribosomal RNA (501 nucleotides) under uncultured bacterium. RNAcentral's name for it is "partial 16S ribosomal RNA". It matches the Rfam family "Bacterial small subunit ribosomal RNA", at positions 29 to 523 of the family's 1533-position model. The record is from RNAcentral.